CUGUGCUUCAGUCAAUAAUUGUUAAUAAAAGACUAAUGCAAUUGUCUGAGUAACUGUGUAAUGUGAUCUUCAGAGAAUGAUUAGGCCUUUGUUGUUUUUUAGAUGAAGCAUCAGAAAGCUUCGAUUCCUUUCAUAGGCCACUGAAGUUUAUCUCAUGGAACUUGCAUAUUUUGUGAGCAACAUUUUGAUCUUUCUGAGUCUUGUAUUUUCAGGCUUGGAAAUAAUGUCAGUGACUGUUAAUAUUUUUGUUUAUUCUUGAAGUUAAUAAAUAUUCCUAGAGUGUUUAAAAUGCACUCUGUGGCAGGCAGGAAUGUGUGUAAAUAGCAAAGGUUUACAGAUUCAAUGGUCAGAAUUCCUGAAUGUGAGAAUAAAUUGGUAAACAAUGUCCUAAUAAAAUGAAUGCCACCUUUGAAUAUCUUCAACGCAUAACACAGAGGAUGUAAAACUGUAUUUUUCAUUUGCAGUUUCCUUUUCAGUUACAUGCAGGACUUCUUGGAAAUGACUGCAGAAGAUAUGUACGGGUGAAUGCCUCUUCCAAACAUUUCCUCCUGAAGUGCCAACCAGGAGGAACAUCAGAACAAUGUGUGUCCUGAUGCAGUCUUUCUGCUGCACCUCACUUAGUGUGGGGGUUGUAGAGCCGAUGCCAUGUCAGUUCUACCCCCACUGAUAUUUCUGUUUGAAGAAUUUGGAUAUUAAUGUACUGUGAAUGUAGUUCAAUACAUUUUCCUACAUUUCUUGUUUGCUGUAGGUUAAAGGUAUGUCCAGGUAUGGCCUUUUGAGAGUUACGACUUCUCUAUAUAUUCAUGUCAAUUCAUAUUAAAAAUUCAUUGGGCUAUUUCUUUCUUUUCUCCCAAUGAAUGACAACCUAAGAAGAAGCAAUCUGAAGAGAAGACACCCAGGAAGAAGAAGAGUAUGCUGUUUGAAUGAUAGACUUUUCUAUCUCAGCAUUAUAGAGAUGUUACUGCUAAAAUGAAGUCUGGCAUUGUUUUCUCAUGGCUGACACUUCGUACAGAGCCUCAAAUUUAUCAGUGGUUUUAAAGACAAUGCAAAUAGAAACAUCCUCCAUAGAAAAGCUGAGAAAUACAAGUAUGUUCCUAAGUUUUUACUUUUAUUAACUAGAAAGUUAAAUUAAGGAUAUUGUAUCUGACCAUAUCACAUGGUGACCAGACAAUUCUGAUUGCUGACAUUCUCUUUCUGCCUCAGACUACUUUUUCUUAUUUACCUGUAUCUGCUGUUUGAUCAGUCCUAUACAGGUAAGAUGCGCUGAUGGUAGGACAUGGGCAAGGCCUUGGAAUUCCCAGCAGAAGUCACCUUGAAGACCGGGAUUGUCAGUCCAAUGCAGAGAAAUAUGGAAUAAAGCACAUCUGACAUACUUGACA
Molecule: long non-coding RNA, 1379 nt
Filed under: Coturnix japonica (Japanese quail)
Lineage: Eukaryota; Metazoa; Chordata; Aves; Galliformes; Phasianidae
Description: lncRNA (ENSCJPG00005018394.1)
Source: RNAcentral